AAAGUGCAACUUUGAUAGUG
Molecule: microRNA, 20 nt
Filed under: Ciona intestinalis (vase tunicate)
Lineage: Eukaryota; Metazoa; Chordata; Ascidiacea; Phlebobranchia; Cionidae
Description: cin-miR-4030-5p
Source: miRBase by way of RNAcentral